UGGGGAAUUUUGGACAAUGGGCGAAAGCCUGAUCCAGCAAUGCCGCGUGUGUGAAGAAGGCCUUCGGGUUGUAAAGCACUUUUGUCCGGAAAGAAAUCCUUGGCUCUAAUACAGUCGGGGGAUGACGGUACCGGAAGAAUAAGCACCGGCUAACUACGUGCCAGCAGCCGCGGUAAUACGUAGGGUGCAAGCGUUAAUCGGAAUUACUGGGCGUAAAGCGUGCGCAGGCGGUUUGCUAAGACCGAUGUGAAAUCCCCGGGCUCAACCUGGGAACUGCAUUGGUGACUGGCAGGCUAGAGUAUGGCAGAGGGGGGUAGAAUUCCACGUGUAGCAGUGAAAUGCGUAGAGAUGUGGAGGAAUACCGAUGGCGAAGGCAGCCCCCUGGGCCAAUACUGACGCUCAUGCACGAAAGCGUGGGGAGCAAAACAGGAUUAGAUACCCUGGUAGUCCACGCCCUAAAACGAUGUCAACUAGUUGUCGGGUCUUCAUUGACUUGGUAACGUAGCUAACGCGUGAA
This 517-nucleotide ribosomal RNA is filed under the name uncultured bacterium. RNAcentral's name for it is "partial 16S ribosomal RNA". It matches the Rfam family "Bacterial small subunit ribosomal RNA", at positions 355 to 863 of the family's 1533-position model. The record is from RNAcentral.